CCUACGGGAGGCAGCAGUGGGGAAUAUUGGACAAUGGGGGGAACCCUGAUCCAGCCAUGCCGCGUGUGUGAAGAAGGCCCUCGGGUUGUAAAGCACUUUCAGUGAGGAAGAACGCCUGGUGGUUAAUACCCAUCAGGAAAGACAUCACUCACAGAAGAAGCACCGGCUAACUCCGUGCCAGCAGCCGCGGUAAUACGGAGGGUGCGAGCGUUAAUCGGAAUUACUGGGCGUAAAGCGCGCGUAGGUGGCUUGAUAAGCCGGUUGUGAAAGCCCCGGGCUCAACCUGGGAACGGCAUCCGGAACUGUCAAGCUAGGGUGCAGGAGAGGAAGGUAGAAUUCCCGGUGUAGCGGUGAAAUGCGUAGAGAUCGGGAGGAAUACCAGUGGCGAAGGCGGCCUUCUGGACUGACACUGACACUGAGGUGCGAAAGCGUGGGUAGCAAACAGGAUUAGAUACCCCUGUAGUC
RNAcentral lists this ribosomal RNA (465 nucleotides) under Vreelandella stevensii. RNAcentral's name for it is "partial 16S ribosomal RNA". It matches the Rfam family "Bacterial small subunit ribosomal RNA", at positions 338 to 795 of the family's 1533-position model. The record is from RNAcentral. Lineage: Bacteria; Pseudomonadati; Pseudomonadota; Gammaproteobacteria; Oceanospirillales; Halomonadaceae.